ACGUAUGGUGCAAGCGUUAUCCGGAUUUACUGGGUGUAAAGGGAGCGUAGGCGGUUUUAUAAGUCUGAUGUGAAAGCCCGGGGCUCAACCCCGGGACUGCAUUGGAAACUGUAGGACUAGAGUGUCGGAGGGGUAAGUGGAAUUCCUAGUGUAGCGGUGAAAUGCGUAGAUAUUAGGAGGAACACCAGUGGCGAAGGCGGCUUACUGGACGAUUACUGACGCUGAGGCUCGAAAGCGUGGGGAGCAAACAG
This 251-nucleotide ribosomal RNA is filed under the name uncultured bacterium. RNAcentral's name for it is "partial 16S ribosomal RNA". It matches the Rfam family "Bacterial small subunit ribosomal RNA", at positions 525 to 775 of the family's 1533-position model. The record is from RNAcentral.